Molecule: ribosomal RNA, 450 nt
Filed under: uncultured bacterium
Lineage: Bacteria
Description: bacterial SSU rRNA
Rfam family: Bacterial small subunit ribosomal RNA
Source: RNAcentral
UCAAGAAACUUCCACAAUGGGCGAAAGCCUGAUGGAGCGACGUCGCGUGAUGGACGAAGUGCUUCGGCACGUAAACAUCUUUUAUGUGGGAUGAAAUUAUUGACAGUACCACAUGAAUAAGGGACUCCUAACUCUGUGCCAGCAGGAGCGGUAAUACAGAGGCCCCAAGCGUUAUCCGGAAUCACUGGGCGUAAAGGGUGUCGAGGCGGUUGUAUUAGUCGUUCGUAAAAUCUACGAGCUUAACUUGUAGGCGGCGAACGAAACGGUACGACUUGAGGUUUGGAGAGGUGCGUGGAACUCACGGUGUAGGGGUGAAAUCCGUUGAUAUCGUGGGGAACACCAAAGGCGAAGGCAGCGCACUGGCCAAAAUCUGACGCUCACACACGAAAGCUAGGGUAGCGAAGAGGAUUAGAUACCCGGGUAGUCCCUGAGCGGGCUGGCAAGGCGCAU